This 5793-nucleotide long non-coding RNA is filed under the name Sus scrofa (pig). RNAcentral describes it as "lncRNA (ENSSSCG00000054695.1)". Lineage: Eukaryota; Metazoa; Chordata; Mammalia; Artiodactyla; Suidae. The record is from RNAcentral.
UUUAUGUCAUGAUUUUAAGGAGAUUAAAUACAGACAAAUAAAAAAUAUUAGCAACUCAAAUCCUGAAGCAGUGGAUCUCAGCGUUUGGAUUUUGUUCCCCCUCAAAAACACACGGCAAAUUAUAUUAACACAGGGGACACCGUUUCCUGGACAUUUAAGGAUGUAUGUGAUUCCCCGGAUAUUAUUUAUACCUCCACCUUCUUCUCAUUCAAACGAGAAUGCAGAUGGGAAUAUCAGUGAGUGAGAAUGAAAUUCUCAUAGGAAUAACUUUGAAUCCUCCACUCUAAUUUAUUUUUAAGUAAAUCAGUGGAAAGCUAUUAUUAAUCACAAAUUGCUUGUGAACCACCUCCCAAAGAAUCACAAGUGUGUGUGCCACAAUAGUACAUUUAAACUAUAUUCUGUGUUCAAGUUUAGACCUAGAUAGACUAAGUUCUUCUAAGGUUAGAUAAUCCUAUGUGAUCCGAAUCUUUAGAAAUUUAUUAUGUAGCUAAAUACCAAUAAUCAGAGCCAACCAGUGCCAUAAUUUAAACACUUAUUUUGCUUAUUACUCUUUUUUUCCUACUUGGCUUCCUUUCUGUCUUUUAUGUGAAAGACUUGAUGGUAGAGGAAGGCGGGGUAGCUGGUUAGCUCUCCCUAAAGCAGGUACUUUCCUUUCCCAGAGUUGCUGUGCCUUUCAGACCUCCUCUGACAAGGUGUUGAUAUGUGGAAGUAGUUACCCCAGGUCUACUGUGCCUGCAGCCAGGCUGUGAGCAGUCACUUCCAUGGAAAUCGUAGCAGUCCCUGCCAGCAAUUCUGGUUCACAGAUGUCUCAGGAGGCAGCCCCACCCUUCCUUGGUUGCAGCAGUGGGGUUUGCAAAUGAUCAGCGCACCAGAGUUGUAACCAACCUUAAGGUGGAUUUCCAAAAGGUAGGAAACUUGUUGGUUUCGGAGAAAUAUUUCUUUAAUAUUUUAUACACUCAAAAAAUUUUAUAAAGAAUUCCUUUCAUGAUGAUUCAGGUGGGGCCAUUUUGUUCUUUCUGUGAAUGAAUCCUUUGCUUAUUUUGGGGUAAAUGUGGUUUUUACAUACCCUAAGUUUAACUAUAAAUCCUUCUGCAAAUGCAAACUGAAAGCACACUUUCCUUCUCAUUAAAUUCCAUCUUACCAAAAGAAAGAUCUAAGUAUAACUGUAACAGGAUCUAAGUAGAGCUGUAAACCAGAAGUACAGGACUGCCUUGUAAACAGUACAACAUGAGAGCACGCGGGAAGGUCUGUCUAUUCUGACUCAAUAAGCGAUUGCUGUGUGAAGUCAAAUCUACACAUUAGGUUAGUUGCUCAGACCCAAAUGGCAUGCCUUUGUAGCCUUGUAGGAGCCUUUUAAUUAUUGUGAGACAGGAAACACAUUCGAUAGAAAAUGAAAUCAUUAGCUAUGAUUUCUCUGGAAUAACACGUCUGCUCUUUGAUAGGCAGCAUUGUUUGUUGGAGCUUUGUUUUUUCCACAUUUUAAUGAAUAGAUGAAAGUUUUCUAGAAUUGGACGUCCUUGGGCCUUAAGAAAAGCCUUGGCUUAAAGGCUGAUUUUCAAAAGGUAACAAGGGGAAGGGAAGUACAACAGAAGAAAAAAAGAGAAGUAAAAGAAAAGAAGGAGAAACAGAGACGUAGAAUGGAGGGAAACAAAAACUGAAGCAAGCGAGAAGGAGCAGAGGGAGGCAGGAGGGAGAGAGAGUAAAGAGAAAGAAUAAAAUACAGAAGGCAGAGAUACUGACAGUACAGAUAUUCAAAGACAAUGAACUUUCGGAGUGAAUCAGCAAAUUGUUAGAAAGUCCAGGUAUUUGUGUAAUUGUGAUACAUUGGAAAAAUUCAUACUGUAAAAUGAGCUUCAAAUUCUUACCAUCUCUUGCACAAUACAGAAACACACUGUUAGUCUGCUGGGCUAUCAUCAGAGAGAUGCCAAAAUGAGGGCACAGGAUGAAAGUCUUGUGAGAGUCUUCUACCUUGUGUGCUUCUCGGACUGAACCAUGGAAUCUGUGCAUUUUUAUAUUAUCUGCUAUUAACGGGGUACAUGGGUUGCAUGUUUUGAUCGAAUAGUUUUAAAAACAUGACCCUACUUCCAUGAGAAAAUUAUUUUUGAAACAUGAGAAAGAUUCAGUGUUCAUUUUUUUUCCUGGGGACAUAGUUUCAAGGUUAAAUGUUCAAAUCCAGUUCAUGAUCCUAGGGAUUAGAAGUCAGCAAAAGGCUGAGAUAAUGCAAAAUGAGAAAGAGAGGACCCACUUUCACGAAGGCUAGGAGACAGGUCUAGGAUGGACAGCCUGGAAAGCUAAAGAAGAAGACAUAAAGCUUAAGAAGGUAUUGAAUACCCUUUACCAUGCAGAUAUAAAACAGCAGACCUAACAGCCAUGUUUCAGAUUAACUAUAUUAUAGGAGCAUUUGCUUCAUGAAAUUACUACUUACAAAAGGACAUGCCAUAUCUGAAUGUCUGUAAGAGAAAAUCACCCUAUUAAUUACAAACUUACUUUGGACUGAAAAUCUUUGGUUCCACUAUAAAUGUUGUUGCUAAUGGAGAAAACAUUAGAGAAAACUUUUCCAUCUCCGUAUUAGUUUAUACUCACCACAUGUUUAGAAAUUAAGAUUUCUAAGAUCUUUGCCGAACACACAUACAUAUUUCUCUUUCUACAAGUAUAAAUUAUUUAUUCUUUUAGUUCUCCAUUCAUCAAUCUCAAAAUGGAGAAAAUAUAGAAAAUGUAUGUAUUAUGGAUUUGCUUGUCUGCACUCUAUUAUGAAGCAAUCCUUGCCCACAUUUAAAGAUGUACUUAAAGAGAAUUUAAAUACAAACAGACUCAUAUGCACGUGCAUACAAAAAGGAAGAAAGGAAAAAGGAGGAAAUGUUAUGAGAUUUUCUUUCUAAUUUUUUUUCUCCAAGUCACCCCUUCUUACAUGUAUAGUACUCAGAGUAUUCUUUCUUAAACAGCUAUUUGUUCUUUCUUGUCAGUGUGAUACACUAAAAGCAAAUGAUGCUGCCUUUAUAAUAUUUGUAAAUUUGGUCUUGGUAUUUAUCCCUGCAUAAGCACAAAGUCACUACAGAGGCAAUAUGUUGGUUGCCCCCACUGUCCAAAAGUAGUUCAGUCCAAAGAGGGAAGCAUAAAUUUAGGAUCAAGAUGGAUGCUGUGAUAUGAGGGGUAGCUGACCAGGUUUCAGGGAUGGGGAGGAAGGCGAAGGGACACUCUACUUCUUUUAAUCUGGUUUGUUGAUAUGUUUUUGCACAACUUAUUCACAUCUUUUUUUCUAACUUAUUAACUUCUAAGAUUCAAAUGCAUGUGUAAACCCUCUGAGGGCUGUCAUGUCAUUUACUCUUUUGUAGUACAUGAUUAUUAUGCAUACAUACAAGUUUUGCCAAGAAUCCCCCAUUACUCCUUCUUUAUUAACGAACAACAAACUGGGAGGGUUAGUUCUGCAUUGUCACUUCAGUUUCCUCAUGAGGAAUUGGGCUUGUUGCUUUUGGGUUUGGGAGCACCCCGGUCAAUAUCACUCAAGUCCUGUUCUACAAUAAAAGGACCUGAUCUGUCUUUGCUGGUUUAUUCUGGGUACCGUGUUGAUCUGCAGAACUCAGACUACAGGCAUUGUUUCCUGUGUCACUUGCUCUAUGUGGCAGAAUAAGGCAACUAAAUAUGUCAGUCUCCUGGUUCUAGCUUUUUGCCAAAUCUGCUCUGAGAUUUAAUCAAAAAUCUUCACCAAUUUACAAACUGGCACGUGCCCUUGCUAAGAAAACUCUUACUCUCUCUUUUACUCUCAUUCUCUUUUCAACCUAUACCCAAAUCACAGCUGGUGAAUGGACAUAAGAAGCACUUUACUUUUGCCUGUCAAAGAUUUCCGGUUCCUGUUUGCUUCUGUGAAGGACACCCCAAGAACUUCCCCGAGGAGUGUUGUAGAAGUCUGGCUACAAUCAGCGUUGAGUCUUAAUUCUGAAGAUGAGGGUCAGCUCUCCAGAACAGGUGCUGGGACCAAAGACCGAAACCAGCUAUAACCCUAGCAGUUUUUUCAUGAGGUGAGAAUUUUAGGCAGGAUGGAUGGGAUGAAAGCAUUGAAAUGCACUGAAUUGACAAAUGUCAAAGAAGCGGGGAAAAUAGCUGAAUGGUUUAGUCAUUGAUCUGUCAUCAGUGGAGCUGGAGCUCAGAUGGCAAUGGUAUCAUUUUUAGCGCAGCCCUCUUCGUCCUCUGCUCAGAUGCACCAAAUGAGGCGCCCAUUUGCUGACUAGAAAUUUACAGUUGAGGUCGACUGAUGAUGCAGUGCAAAGAAGCCUGUUCUGUUCCUCUGCUCACGCAUAAGCCAUGCCAACCUUCACCUUUAAAUAGCUCCAUAUUUAAUUAUGUGAUAUUUAGAAAUAAAGUUCAGUCACAGUUCACUAAUAACUUGUUCCUACCUAAGAAAGAAAGAAAAAAAAAAAAGAUUUAGCAAUCAGUAACUCUCAAAGGAAAAAAAAAAAAAAAAGACAACUCAGUACAAGGUUGCAAUGUAAAAUAAAGCCUUUAUUUCAGGGAAAAUCAUAAUAAAUUAAACUCAUUAUUAAAAAAUACACUAAAAAUUUUUAACACUAUUUUUGGCACUAUUUUUCUAUUUUACCACAAAACCUUAGGACGAAAAGGAUUAGCUUAAGCAAACAGAAAAAAAAAAAACAAAAAACAAACACUGAACCUUGAAGAAGGUACAGUAGCUACUUUCUUGAAAAUAAAACAAUCUUUUCGUUCCUGCCAUUUGUCUGAAUUCUUCCUCCGGGCAAGCUGGACAGCUGCACUAGUGGUUUUUUAGUCAUGGGUUGUAAGCCCCACCUGGCUAGAUUUGUUUAGCAGACAGCUGGCAGAAUUAAAUAAAAAGAAUGGGACACAAAAAGCUUCCCCCCAAAAAGCUGAGAGAAUACUUUUUGGAUGUUUUAACCUUUUGGAGGUUUAUACUUUUCUAUUUUUUUUCUUGCUACAGUCACAUAGUACUUACUAUAUGUGAAUAUAUGUCAUAGAUACUUUCUCUCACUUAUAACAACACAGCUGAGGUAAAAAAAUGUAGCAUAAAUGCAAACCUCAAGUAAGCAUAUCUUGGGCCACUAUUUUUAAGUUAGAAACACUGAUUUGCAGUUUAUAGGUCCCCAAGAAUGACAUCAGUUUCAAAUUAGCAUUUUUUUAUUUCUACAUUUUCUUUGUUAUUUUUUAAAGCCAAUAAAAUAGAUUUUCUUCGUCUGGAAUGUUCUUUCUCGCUUAAAGAUAAGAAGGAGUCUAAAUUGUGGGAAUGGCAUCUUUCUGCAUCUGUUUCUCUCACAAACCUAUCAAAUAUCUAAUUUUUGGCAUGACUGCUGGCUCCGACAGGAGGAUGACAUAAACCAGCUUUGUGGUUACAUGUUUCACUUUUAAUCUCAUGGAAAUAAAAAUCAGCACUGAAAUGUCCCUUUACAUGUGACAAUUUGGGACUCUUUUCCAAAAGCCCAAGCAGAAGGGCGUUAACCUGGUAAGCUUAACACAGAGCAUAUGCAGAAGUAUCAGGCAUUUUUAUGCUAAAAGGCACAAGGCAAACCUGCCUCUAGUAGAGCUUUGUUCCCAUCAGAGACAGGAACUACAAAAAUCGAAAGACUUAGUGGCAGCAAGUUACCGAAAAAUGACCAAAACGCCUAUCGGAAUCGGGAAAUGAAAUAUAGUACUUGAUAGCCGCACAUCUUUCUCUGUGUUUUGUCUCUUUCCAUAAAUGCGACAGGACUAGUGGAAUAUUUCAACCAUCAUGGGUUUGCUACUUAGCACCAGGAGAAUCCAGCUUUUCACUAAACACAGUAAAUAUAGUAU